Molecule: ribosomal RNA, 389 nt
Filed under: uncultured bacterium
Lineage: Bacteria
Description: bacterial SSU rRNA
Rfam family: Bacterial small subunit ribosomal RNA
Source: RNAcentral
AUUGAACGCUGGCGGCAUGCCUUACACAUGCAAGUCGAACGGCAGCACGGGAGCAAUCCUGGUGGCGAGUGGCGAACGGGUGAGUAAUAUAUCGGAACGUGCCCAGUCGUGGGGGAUAACGUAGCGAAAGCUACGCUAAUACCGCAUACGAUCUAAGGAUGAAAGCGGGGGAUUCGCAAGAACCUCGCGCGAUUGGAGCGGCUGAUAUCAGAUUAGGUUGUUGGUGAGGUAAAAGCUCACCAAGCCGACGAUCUGUAGCUGGUUUGAGAGAACGACCGGCCACACUGGGACUGAGACACGGCCCAGACUCCUACGGGAGGCAGCAGUGGGGAAUUUUGGACAAUGGGCGAAAGCCUGAUCCAGCAAUGCCGCGUGCAGGAAGAAGGCCU